UAUAGGCUUAGAAACUGGUGAACUAGAGUGCAGAAGGGGCAAGUGGAAUUCCAUGUGUAGCGGUAAAAUGCAUAGAUAUAUGGAGGAACACCGGUGGCGAAGGCGGCUUGCUAGUCUGUAACUGACGCUCAGGCACGAAAGCGUGGGGAGCAAAUAGGAUUAGAUACCCUAGUAGUCCACGCUGUAAACGAUGGAUACUAAGUGUUGGGGUUACCCAGUGCUGUCGCUAACGCAAUAAGUAUCCCGCCUGUGGGGUAUGCACGCAAGUGUGAAACAUAAAGGAAUUGACGGGGGCCCGCACAAGCGGUGGAGUAUGUGGUUUAAUUCGACGCAACGCGAAAAACCUUACCAAGUCUUGACAUCCUUGGCAAAGCUAUGGAGACAUAGUGGAGGAUAUCCGAGUGACAGGUGGUGCAUGGUUGUCGUCAGCUCGUGUCGUGAGAUGUUGGGUUAAGUCCCGCAACGAGCGCAACCCCUAUCUUCUGUUACCAUCAUUCAGUUGGGGACUCAGGAGAGACUGCCGGUGACAAACCGGAGGAAGGUGGGGAUGACGUCAAAUCAUCAUGCCCCUUAUGACUUGGGCUACACACGUACUACAAUGGUGACUACAACGAGCUGCAAGUGAGUGAUCACAAGCUAAUCUCUGAAAAGUCAUCUCAGUUCGGAUUGAAGUCUGCAACUCGACUUCAUGAAGUUGGAAUCGCUAGUAAUCGCGAAUCAGCAUGUCGCGGUGAAUACGUUCUCGGGCCUUGUACACACCGCCCGUCAAACCAUGAGAGUUGGUAAUACCCGAAGCCGGUGGCCUAACCGUAAGGAGGGAGCCGUCGAAGGUAGGACUGAUGAUUGGGGUUAAGUCGUAACAAGGUAACC
This 870-nucleotide ribosomal RNA is filed under the name uncultured bacterium. RNAcentral describes it as "bacterial SSU rRNA". It matches the Rfam family "Bacterial small subunit ribosomal RNA", at positions 619 to 1501 of the family's 1533-position model. The record is from RNAcentral.